AGAUAUGAAGAUGGUCUAGUUACACCUGCCACCCUACCCAGCACCCAGGAUUCCAUUGAUCUGGCUAGCAAGGCUAGAGUCUUUUUUCUUCCUCAUUGCUCCUUGUGUAUUUCUCCUGAAGCUGAGCUAUGCUCAGUCAAAAGAGAAGGACUUCUUCCACAGAGAGGACCAUAUUUCACUCAAAGGUCUACGAGUAGCUGAACUCCUGUUAGACCAAGCAAGGUCCAUGAAUGCUCCAGGAAUGUUAGAAUUCCAUGCAGAUAUUGUCCCAAUAGGUCAAUUACCU
Molecule: small nuclear RNA, 286 nt
Filed under: Rattus norvegicus (Norway rat)
Lineage: Eukaryota; Metazoa; Chordata; Mammalia; Rodentia; Muridae
Description: 7SK RNA
Rfam family: 7SK RNA
About the family: 7SK was discovered as an abundant small nuclear RNA in the mid-70s but a possible function has only recently been suggested. Two independent studies have found that 7SK RNA binds the CDK9/cyclin T complex (known as elongation factor P-TEFb). P-TEFb activates transcription by phosphorylating the C-terminal domain of RNA polymerase II.
Source: Rfam by way of RNAcentral